RNAcentral lists this ribosomal RNA (468 nucleotides) under uncultured bacterium. RNAcentral describes it as "partial 16S ribosomal RNA". It matches the Rfam family "Bacterial small subunit ribosomal RNA", at positions 28 to 507 of the family's 1533-position model. The record is from RNAcentral.
GAUGAACGCUGGCGGCGUGCUUAACACAUGCAAGUCGAACGGAAAGGCCCAAGCUUGCUUGGGUACUCGAGUGGCGAACGGGGGAGUAACACGUGGGUGAUCUGCCCUGCACUUCGGGAUAAGCCUGGGAAACUGGGUCUAAUACCGGAUAGGACGAUGGUUUGGAUGCCAUUGUGGAAAGUUUUUUCGGUGUGGGAUGAGCUCGCGGCCUAUCAGCUUGUUGGUGGGGUAAUGGCCUACCAAGGCGUCGACGGGUAGCCGGCCUGAGAGGGUGUACGGCCACAUUGGGACUGAGAGACGGCCCAGACUCCUACGGGAGGCAGCAGUGGGGAAUAUUGGACAAUGGGCGCAAGCCUGAUGCAGCGACGCCGCGUGGGGGAUGACGGCCUUCGGGUUGUAAACUCCUUUCGCUAGGGACGAAGCGUUUUUGUGACGGUACCUGGAGAAGAAGCACCGGCUAACUACGUG